This 479-nucleotide ribosomal RNA is filed under the name uncultured bacterium. RNAcentral describes it as "bacterial SSU rRNA". It matches the Rfam family "Bacterial small subunit ribosomal RNA", at positions 30 to 502 of the family's 1533-position model. The record is from RNAcentral.
AUUGAACGCUGGCGGCAUGCCUUACACAUGCAAGUCGAACGGCAGCACGGGAGCAAUCCUGGUGGCGAGUGGCGAACGGGUGAGUAAUAUAUCGGAACGUACCUUUCAGUGGGGGAUAACGUAGCGAAAGUUACGCUAAUACCGCAUAUUCUGUGAGCAGGAAAGCAGGGGAUCGCAAGACCUUGCGCUCUGGGAGCGGCCGAUGUCGGAUUAGCUAGUUGGUGGGGUAAAGGCCUACCAAGGCGACGAUCCGUAGCGGGUCUGAGAGGAUGGACAGCCACACUGGGACUGAGACACGGCCCAGACUCCUACGGGAGGCAGCAGUGGGGAAUAUUGGACAAUGGGGGGAACCCUGAUCCAGCGAUGCCGCGUGUGUGAAGAAGGCCCUCGGGUUGUAAAGCACUUUAAGCGAGGAGGAAGGUCAUCAUGCUAAUAUUAUGAUGAAUUGACGUUACUCGCAGAAUAAGCACCGGCUAACU